Molecule: ribosomal RNA, 490 nt
Filed under: uncultured bacterium
Lineage: Bacteria
Description: partial 16S ribosomal RNA
Rfam family: Bacterial small subunit ribosomal RNA
Source: RNAcentral
AUUGAACGCUGGCGGCAGGCCUAACACAUGCAAGUCGAACGGUAACAGGAAGCAGCUUGCUGCUUUGCUGACGAGUGGCGGACGGGUGAGUAAUGUCUGGGAAACUGCCUGAUGGAGGGGGAUAACUACUGGAAACGGUAGCUAAUACCGCAUAACGUCGCAAGACCAAGGAGGGGGACCUUCGGGCCUCUUGCCAUCGGAUGUGCCCAGAUGGGAUUAGCUAGUAGGUGGGGUAACGGCUCACCUAGGCGACGAUCCCUAGCUGGUCUGAGAGGAUGACCAGCCACACUGGAACUGAGACACGGUCCAGACUCCUACGGGAGGCAGCAGUGGGGAAUAUUGCACAAUGGGCGCAAGCCUGAUGCAGCCAUGCCGCGUGUAUGAAGAAGGCCUUCGGGUUGUAAAGUACUUUCAGCGGGGAGGAAGGGAGUAAAGUUAAUACCUUUGCUCAUUGACGUUACCCGCAGAAGAAGCACCGGCUAACUCCGUG